GCUGCUGAUCCAACAAACUAAAAUUAGUUUAACCCAAGCUAAUGAAUAAAAAUGCACAUUUCAUCAGAUGCAACAACACUCACAAUUUAAGAGAAACAUUAUUCGAAUGCUUGGUGAAAGAGAUGUGUUUUUAAUCUAGAUUUGAAAAGAGAGAGUGUGUCUGAUCCCUGAAUAUUAUCAGGAAGGCUAUUCCAGAGUUUAGAGUACCUCCUUUAGUGGACUUUGCUAUCCUAGGAACGACCAAAAAUCCAGCGUUUUGUGACCUUAGGGUGCGUGAUGGGUUGUAACGUGGUAGAAGGCUAGUUAGGUAUGCAGGAGCUAAACCAUUUAGGGCCUUAUAGUAAUGAUAAUUUGUAACUGAUAUGGAACUUAAUAGGUAGCCAGUGCAGAGACUGUAAAAUUGGGGUAAUAUGAUCAUAUUUUCUUGACCUCGUAAGGACUCUAGCUGCUGCAUUUUGGACUACCUGUAGCUUGUUUAUUGACAAAGCAGGACAACCACCUAGAAGUGCAUUACAAUAGUCCAGUCUAGAGGUCAUGAAUGCAUGAACUAGCUUUUCUGCAUCAGAAACAGAUAACAUGUUUCGUAGCUUGGCAAUGUUUCUAAGAUGGAAGAAUGCAAUUUUUGUAACAUUGGAAAUAUAAUUUUCAAAAGACAAUUUGCUGUCUAAUACGACACCCAGAUUUCUGACUGUAGAGGAAGUAACAGUACAUCCCUCUAGUUGCAAAUUGUAAUCUACAAGAUUCUGUGUAUUUUUUUUUGGUCCAAUAAUUAAUAUCUCUGUCUUAUCUGGAUUUAAUUGGAGAAAAUUAUUUGUCAUCCAAUCUUUUACAUUUUUAACACACAACAUGUAUAUUGAAAAUAGAAGGGGACCUAGGACGGAUCCUUGUGGCACUCCAUAUUUUACUGAUGAUAAAUGAGAUGACACCCCACUUAAUUAAACAAAAUGGUAGCGAUCAGACAGGUAGGAUCUAAACCAUCUUAGAGCCUGCCCUUGAAUACCUGUAUACUUUUGUAAUCGAUCUAUGAGUAUGUCAUGAUCUAUGGUGUCGAACGCAGCACUAGAUCAAGUAAGACUAGAAAUGAGAUGCAGCCUUGAUCUGACGCAAGGAGCAGGUCAUUUGUAAUUUUAACAAGUGCAGUUUCUGUGCUAUGGUGGGGCCUGAAACCUGACUGAAAUUCUUCAUACAGAUCAUUUUUAUGCAGGAAGGUGCUCAAUUGAGCAGACACAACUUUUUCUAAAAUUUUUGACAUAAAUGGAAGAUUUGAAAUAGGCCUAUAAUUUGCCAGUACACUAGGAUCUAGUUUUGGUUUCUUAAUAAGAGGCUUGAUAACCGCCAGCUUAAAUGGUUUUGGGACGCGACCUAAAGAUAACGACGAGUUAAUGAUAUUGAGAAGAAGUUCUUCGGCUACAAUAAGUUUAUUUAGCUCUUCCUGUCCUAUGUUUGUAAAGCACUGCAGUUUAUCUUUGGUUGCGAUGGAUGAAACUGAAGAGUUAGACGCUGUAGAAUCUAAUAUAUAAUAGGUAAUUUGUUAAUUUAGCCACUGUGUUAAAUAAAAACCUUGGAUUGUUAUGGUUAUUUUCUAUGAGUUUGUGUAUAUGCUCUGCCCUAGCAGUUUUUAGAGCCUGUCUAUAGCUGGACAUACUGUUUUUCCAUGCAAUUCUAAAAACUUCCAAGUAAUUUUUACUCCAUUUGCGUUCAAGACUACAAGCUUCUUUCUUGAGAGAGUGAGUAUUACUGUUAUACCAUGGCACAGUACGUUUUUCUCUAACCUUUUUCAAUUUGAUGGGGGCAACAGUUUCUAAUGUAUUACAGAAAAUAGUGCCCAUGUUGUCAGUCAUUUCGUCUAAUUCAUGUGUAUUUUUGGGUACAGAUAGCAGUUGAGAUAGAUCAGGCAGGUUAUUUGCGAAUCUUUCUUUGGUGGCUGGAACAAUAGUUAAUAUCAGUUAUACGUAGCAUGCAGGAUACAAGGAAAUGGUCUGUAAUAUCAUCACUUUGAGAUACAAUAUCUAUAGCAGUAAGAUCGAUUCCAUGAGAUAUAAUUAAAUCUAGUGUAUGAUUAAAACGAUGAGUGGGCCCGGUGACAUUUUGCCUGACUCCAAAAGAGUUUAUUAGGUCAGUAUGUGCAUGUUUUGCUUAACCAAAAAUCUGAUAGUCAUGUGCUGAUGUUAUUUAUAAUACCUUUAGCAUUGCAUUUCUCCUGGAGAAAUAUAGUGCAUGUAAUACUUUUAUAUAACAAAGUUGUGUUAAAAUGAUCAAAAGUGACCGUAAACCAUUAAAACAGAAAUCUGGUGAUACUGGAGUCAGUGUUUAGUUCCAGGUCAGAAGAGGAGAUGCUGAAACUCAUUGGACUGAUGAACUCUAUGAGGGUCAUUGACGGCCAUGACAAAGUGACAGCUUUCGAUCUUUCUAACUUCAUGACCGUCAUAGUUCUGGGAGGCUGCUCUUGUGCAUUAUUGUGAGAGCUGGCUAAAGAGUAUCCUUCCUCCACUGUCACGGUGCUGGAUCUCCCGGCUGUGGUCCAAACCACUCAGCAGCAUUUCGCCCAGCAAGAGGACACCAUCUGUUUCCAAGAGGGAGAAAUCCCUCCUGCAGACUUAUACAUUCUGGCACGGAUCAUUCAUGACUGGGAGGAGGAAAGAAAAAGUUCCAACUAUUGAAGAAGAUUCAUACAGAAUGUCAUCCAGGUGGAGGCGUUCUGAUCACAGAUGCACUGUUGUUUGAGAACCGCUGCGGUCCAGCUGUGGUUCAGAUGUUUUCUCUGAACCUGCUGGUCCAGUCUAGCCUCUCAUUAUAAACAUCUGCUUACCGAAGCAGGAUUCAGAGAAGGUCUGUCAGACUAGAAAAUGCUAUUUUGGCACUCAAAUGAAUAUGCACACAUGUAUUCAUGUAAGCAUUGUCAGUAAUCAGAACCCUUCUGCCGUAUCUGCAGACACGGGAGUAAUCAUAUUCAUGCACAUGUCAGACAUCUGUUGUUCCACCUUGGCCUUGUUUUGUUAAGUUAUAAAGCAUUUUAUUUCUCCAUCAGAGAAUGAGCCCACUCCUGAUCCUUAUGAUUCCUUCAAAAGGCUGUUUUAGCAUCAAUUCGUUUUAGUUAUUUGUGAACUUGGCUCCUGAGGCCUACCAGAUGUAGUCUGGCCAGUGGUGUGUCAAAAUAAACUCCUCCCUCGUUCCCACCUUGUGUAUCUAGGUUGUCUUGACAAUUGGUUAAGUAUGACCCCUUGUGGUUAUUUGUUGAACUAAC
Molecule: long non-coding RNA, 3244 nt
Organism: Carassius gibelio (silver crucian carp)
Lineage: Eukaryota; Metazoa; Chordata; Actinopteri; Cypriniformes; Cyprinidae
Exons: 4
Source: RefSeq, a predicted model, not a curated record